RNAcentral lists this ribosomal RNA (845 nucleotides) under Cellulophaga sp. AU351_Ted3_R2A. RNAcentral describes it as "bacterial SSU rRNA". It matches the Rfam family "Bacterial small subunit ribosomal RNA", at positions 56 to 902 of the family's 1533-position model. Lineage: Bacteria; Pseudomonadati; Bacteroidota; Flavobacteriia; Flavobacteriales; Flavobacteriaceae. The record is from RNAcentral.
UGCAGUCGAGGGGUAACAGAGGAGCUUGCUCUUGCUGACGACCGGCGCACGGGUGCGUAACGCGUAUACAAUCUGCCUUACACUAAGGGAUAGCCCAGAGAAAUUUGGAUUAACACCUUAUAGUUUAUUUUUAUGGCAUCAUUUAAAUAAUAAAGUUUACGGUGUAAGAUGAGUAUGCGUCCCAUUAGUUUGUUGGUAAGGUAACGGCUUACCAAGACUACGAUGGGUAGGGGCCCUGAGAGGGGGAUCCCCCACACUGGUACUGAGACACGGACCAGACUCCUACGGGAGGCAGCAGUGAGGAAUAUUGGACAAUGGAGGAGACUCUGAUCCAGCCAUGCCGCGUGCAGGAAGACGGUCCUAUGGAUUGUAAACUGCUUUUAUACAGGAAGAAUAAGGACUACGUGUAGUCUGGUGACGGUACUGUAAGAAUAAGGACCGGCUAACUCCGUGCCAGCAGCCGCGGUAAUACGGAGGGUCCGAGCGUUAUCCGGAAUUAUUGGGUUUAAAGGGUCCGUAGGCGGGCUGUUAAGUCAGGGGUGAAAGUUUGCAGCUCAACUGUAGAAUUGCCUUUGAUACUGAUGGUCUUGAAUUAUUGUGAAGUGGUUAGAAUAUGUAGUGUAGCGGUGAAAUGCAUAGAUAUUACAUAGAAUACCGAUUGCGAAGGCAGAUCACUAACAAUUGAUUGACGCUGAUGGACGAAAGCGUGGGUAGCGAACAGGAUUAGAUACCCUGGUAGUCCACGCCGUAAACGAUGGAUACUAGCUGUUUGGAUUUCGAUCUGAGCGGCCAAGCGAAAGUGAUAAGUAUCCCACCUGGGGAGUACGUUCGCAAGAAUGAAACUC